CGGGAAGAGCUCAAAUUUGAAAUCUGACGGUUCCGCCGUCCGAGUUGUAAUCUGGAGAAGCGUCUUCCGUGCCGGACCGUGUACAAGUCCCUUGGAACAGGGCGUCGUAGAGGGUGAGAAUCCCGUCUUUGACACGGACCCCCGGUGCCAUGCGAUGCGCUCUCGAA
This 167-nucleotide ribosomal RNA is filed under the name Trechispora sp. Its description in RNAcentral is "partial large subunit ribosomal RNA". It matches the Rfam family "Eukaryotic large subunit ribosomal RNA", at positions 99 to 261 of the family's 3401-position model. Lineage: Eukaryota; Fungi; Basidiomycota; Agaricomycetes; Trechisporales; Hydnodontaceae. The record is from RNAcentral.